RNAcentral lists this long non-coding RNA (5579 nucleotides) under Triticum aestivum (bread wheat). RNAcentral's name for it is "long non-coding RNA (TAES_LNC000124)". Lineage: Eukaryota; Viridiplantae; Streptophyta; Magnoliopsida; Poales; Poaceae. The record is from RNAcentral.
GAUAACAAUACUAGGACUAGAAAUUAACUAGUACAGGGACAAACACACAUGCAUGAAGACACAUAUAGGAUGGCAGAAUACUAAUUCACAGAGCAAAAUCACACUGACAUAACAUUCUCUGAUCAACUGGACAUUAACUAGUAAGAACACAUAAAAAGAUGCACUAUAUUUAAAAGUACGAAACUAAGCACAUAGCAAUUUGAGCACUAGUCAUGUAAACAAUACACGCCAUACACAUCUCAAUUCUGAAUUUUACGAAGUCUGGACCUUACAAGGUCUCAAACAUCUCAAUUGCACAGAUAUUUCAGAGAGACAGAGGGAGAGAGAGAAAGAGAGAGACAGCAGGAGGUUGGAGAGAAGAUUAGGAGCAGUAGCAGUAGGGGUUCAGAGGAGCAGCAGCAGUUUGUGGUUCAGAAGAGAAGCAACAGCAACGGAGGUAAGGAAGCAGAGCAGCAGCGAGGUUCAGAGAAGAAAUAGAGCAGCAGGGUGAGAGGAGGAGCAGCAGCGAGGUAAGGAGAAGGAGAAGAUGCAGCAGCAGGGACGUGGGGAUAGAGAGCAGCAGCAGCGUGAGAAGAAGCAGCAGGGCGCAGCAACAAGGGGAUUCAAGGAGAAGAAUGAGGUUCAGAGAAGAAGAAGUGGCAGCAGGAGAUGGAGAAGGAGCAAGGCAAGGGAAGAAGGACAGCAGGGAAUAGCAUCAGCAGAAGGGACAAGGGGACGAGCAGCGGCAGUUGGAGAAGAAGAGCAGCAGCACAGGGGCGCUCACGCGGAGGAGAAAAACAGCAGCAGUGUUAGGGGAGGAGAGAGAGGCAGCAAGGAUGCAACGGGGCAGCAGGGGAUUGAGUUGAUGGCGCUGUGGACGGAGGUAAGGAUGGGCGGCGGAGGUGCUGGGUCGUGCGGGCAGUCACACACCCGUCUGGUCGAGCGCGCGAGGUGGGCGCUGGUGUAUGGAUGCGUGAGGGGAUGGAUGGCGCUGGAGGUGGUGAUGCGGCAGUGUUGUGGCGCGGGUGGAAGGAGAUGAUCGUGGUGGUGGAUGGUGCGGCGGCGCGAGGUGGUGAUGCGGCGGUGGUGUGGAGCAGGUGGAGAUGCUGGGUGGCGCACCACCACGCCGCCCUGGCCAUGGUGGCGGCCGGUGGUGGAGAAGAAGAGGAGAGGGAGAGAGAUGAGAUGCCAGGCCCGAAGGGGAUCGAAGGCCACCCUAGGGAUUUUGACCCCUCUCGAUCAGAUCUGCCCAUAUUGCACUUUGGCCCUUCGCUUCUCUUCUUUUAGCUCAAGUAGGUCCCUCUCUUCUUUAGCUAGCCCCCCUAAGCUUUAAUUUUCUUCAAGCUUGAGUCCCUCUUUCUUCUCUUCUUGCCUGUGAUCUUGUUCCUCAAUACUUUCUAGACAGAAACUUGUAGAUUAUAGUGCCUCGUCGCACUUUUCUGCAAAAGAAACACAAUGACUAGUAAAUGAAUCAUUAUAUGAUUUUCAUGCAAAUAUUCAACUAAACUUAGCAAGAAUAGAUGGGCAUAACUCAACAAAUGGUAUAAUUCAAUGCCCAAAUUAUGUAUAUGAAAUGUGUUUAUCAAGUUCCCCCACACUUAAAUCUUUACUUGUCCUCAAGUAAAGGCAUAUGACAAGAGCAAGAUAGUGAAUGGUGAGCUGACUAGAGAAUGCCAAGUGAAGUAGAUCUCUAAACAAUGCAUGCUUCAGACUUAGUUAGUGAAAAUUAAUGGUUAGAGUGCUACAAAGCAGUAGGAUACUAGUAGACUUGACCAUUUUAAACUUUUACAAUGAUAAAAGAAGAUUAGCAAGUUCAAAUGCUGAAUGUGCCAAAAGGUUCCUAAAGAGAGCAUGAUCCAAAAAAAAAACAACUUAAACUUGUGAUCAGAUCACUUAUUACCAGGAACAAAACAUUGCAGUUGAAAGCACUUAUUGUAUUUGAGGAAAGUAAUGAUAAUAUUUUGUCGAUCUCACCAAAGGAACAUACCACCGAUCCCGAGAACAUGAUAUACACCUGGCUCGACCAAUUAUUAGUUAGUUCUUUUUGUUUGUCUCCCCAAAGGAACAUACCACCGAUCCAGAGAACAUGGUAUACACCUGGUUCGACGAUUACAAUUUUAUUAGUAAUUACUGCCCGAGCUAACCCGAUUUCACAUGCCACCGAUCCAGGGAACAUGACAUGCUACUGUAGGUAGUCAGACUUAUUUAUUCAUUAUAAGAUAUACUUUUUAUUUUUAUUUUUCAAAUGAACAAAAACAAGAAUCAUCACUCAUCCAUGUCUAGUUCACAUGCUACCGAUCCAUAGAACAUAGCAUGCUAAUCCAUAGUGGUAAGUGAUUGCUCUGAAUGGGAACACAUUAGGCACAAAAUCAGCAUCUAAACAUGGUGAUCUAGGUGUAUCAAUGUAAAUGCAGAAAAUGAUGGAAGUUUUCUAGUGUACUAGGGAUUUGAGCACUCAAAACUAAUAACUUUCACUAAUUUCAGCAAAGCAAGCAAUAUGUAGAUCACUAGUUUACAAGGCAUUCAACAAUCAGUUCUCAUGUUCACAUCAAGCGCAAUAUGUCAAAUAAAAUUCAGUGGGACAUCAUUUAAGAAAUGGCUCAAGCAACUCAAAUAUCAAAUGAUUUCAACAUUAUCAACGGAUGAUAUAUUGAGAUUGGGGUCAUGAAAUAGCUCACCGGGCUUUGAUGGUGUAGCACUCGCUCGAUCAUCUCUAAGCUGCUAAUCUUCUCCUUUGCUUCCUCAUGGAUGCUCCAGCUUCACUCUUCUUCGUGUGUGCCCCCUUGCUUCUCCUCAUCACCAUGCUCUGAGUCCACCAGGGUCCUAAGGAAUGUCACCUCGAACCUGGUCAGCAUGAAAUGAACGGUGCAGAAGCAAAAACUUGAAAGAACACUCCACAAAAGAGACAAUGCAUGUGGUAGGGAUAAUAUCCUCCAAGUCAUCAAUCGAGUAUCCAAUUACAUAAGCAUAGCUAUAAAGCACAUGUUUAGGAUGGUAGAAAUCAGCAAGGUCUACACUAACAUGAGGAUGAUAUUUAUCAUUAAGCUCAAGACUAGCAUAAGAAUGAUAUGUUUCAUUAAGCAAAGGACUAGCAUGAGGAGAAUAAGUGUCAUCAUCAUAAAUGAGAGCAAUACCACCAAUAGUGUAUGUAUCAUCAUAUCCAAGCAAAUGAGUUUUCAAAUCAAUCUUAAGUGAUGGUAUCAUGUAAUGCAAGGUAGUAGCAAACAAUUCAUAUGGACGCAUGUCAUCAAGAGGAUUAGAUAAACCUGCUGCAUCACGCUCUUGUAUGACGAUGGGCAAAUGAAUUUCUGGUUCUUCAUCUUCAACUACAGGAGCUUCUUUUACUUCUUCAGGAAGGAUAUACAUUGGAUCUUCAAGGUCUUCGACCUGAUCACUUGGGUAGUUGAGCUCUGGAUCAUCUUGUGCCUUGGCUUCAAGAAUUUCUUCUUGGAUCUGAAGUAUCUCUUCCUAUGGACUCUCGCUAUCUUGCUCAGCUGAAUGUGAAGGUGUUGGGACCUCACAUGUAUCAAAGGAUAUCCCAGAAACACUCAGCUCAAGGAGGGAUGAGAUAGUGCACCCGGCAUUCAUAUUCUUCUCAAUUUUCCUUCUUCCACUAGCUCUUUUCCACUCUUGAUCUUCUUCAUUUCCUCUAGUAUCACCGGCCUAAUUGGAUCAUCUUCAGCACUCCAAGUGAACUCGAGACUAAGCAGUGUGAGCUUGUCUAUAUCAUCAAAAUCAUCUUGUGUGGGCACUUGUGUUGAAGGUGUUGGUUGACCAAAUGGAGGACCAUUUAACUCCAUUGGCAACAUCUCCUGGUGUUGAGGUAUAUGAGUAGGAGCUGAAUGAAAUUGUCGUGGUACAUAGUUGUGGCUCUCCUCAUUGUACCUAAAUCCCUGCAUAUGAUUACUAGAAGCAAACAGUGAGAUCUCAGGGUUGUUGUUCCUAUAUGACAUAUUCUGGUUUUCAGGCCACCCAUAUGAGUAAUUGUUUUGGUAUGAGCUAGGCUGUGGGGCGAAGCUCAUGCCAUAACAAUUGGGAGGGUGAGAGUAACCACGCUGACAUUCAGCGGGUGAAUGGCCCUGAAAUCCACAAAUAUGGCAUGUAGGAGCAACAUAAGGAUGACCUCUAGAAUAAGGAUCAUAAGAGCUAGGCCUAUCCUCGAAAACUACUUCUCGCUGCCGAGCUAAAUCAUCUAAUCGAUGGGAAAUCUUACUUAUCAGUUCUUGAAUACUUUCUGUGCUGUUUGUAGUGUUGCUCACAUAAGCAUGAUGAUCUGAGUAAAAUGCCAUUUCCAAGAAGACAAUUCAACCUACAAAAUGAACAAGAAAAGAAAGAGAAGAUAACUAGAACAGCGGUUAGGGGUAAGAGAUAUAUCACAAAUAUAUUGCAUUAGAUAGAAACAGAAGCAAAACCUAGUCUAUAGCCUAACACGGUAGCACGACGCUAGUCCCGGCAACGGCGCCAAAAUGAUCAGAUGUAAAUAUAGUGGGGUUUUUCGCCCAAACUGCGAGUGUCGUGUUCUCCUCAGGGACUAGGCGACGGCAACUAUAUUCGGCUAAAGCUAGGUAAUACAAUUUUGAGUGAUAAAAACAGCAAAAAAAACCUAAACUAUUUAAGAUUGUUCCCGAAGAUAAUCCACAAAGACAAUGCAAAAUAGCAAAGGGAGGUUUAGAAUACACUCACUGUCGAUCUGGUAUUUUUGUAUUUUAAUAAGGCACACAACCAAUCAGCGGGACAAAGGGGAACUUACUAUAGAUGAUUGAGCUCUACUAAAGGGACUACUAACAGGGAAUAAAAAGUCAGGAUAACAAUACUAGGACUAGAAAUUAACUAGUACAGGGACAAACACACAUGCAUGAAUACACAUAUAGGAUGGCAGAAUACUAAUUCACAGAGCAAAAUCACACUGACAUAACAUUCUCUGAUCAACUGGACAUUAACUAGUAAGAACACAUAAAAAGAUGCACUAUAUUUAAAAGUACGAAACUAAACACAUAGCAAUUUGAGCACUAGUCAUGUAAACAAUACACGCCAUACACAUCUCAAUUCUGAAUUUUACAAAGUAUGAACCUUACAAGGUCUCAAACAUCUCAAUUGCACAGAUAUUUCAGAGAGACAGAGGGAGAGAGAGAAAGAGAGAGACAGCAGGAGGUUGGAGAGAAGAUUAGGAGCAGUAGCAGUAGGGGUUCAGAGGAGCAGCAGCAGUUUGUGGUUCAGAAGAGAAGCAACAGCAACGGAGGUAAGGAAGCAGAGCAGCAGCGAGGUUCAGAGAAGAAAUAGAGCAGCAGGGUGAGAGGAGGAGCAGCAGCGAGGUAAGGAGAAGGAGAAGAUGCAGCAGCAGGGACGUGGGGAUAGAGAGCAGCAGCAGCGUGAGAAGAAGCAGCAGGGCGCAGCAACAAGGGGAUUCAAGGAGAAGAAUGAGGUUCAGAGAAGAAGAAGUGGCAGCAGGAGAUGGAGAAGGAGCAAGGCAAGGGAAGAAGGACAGCAGGGAAUAGCAUCAGCAGAAGGGACAAGGGGACGAGCAGCGGCAGUUGGAGAAGAAGAGCAGCAGCACAGGGGCGCUCACGCGGAGGAGAAAAACAUCAGCAGUGUUAGGGGAG